Molecule: long non-coding RNA, 526 nt
Filed under: Fragaria vesca (wild strawberry)
Lineage: Eukaryota; Viridiplantae; Streptophyta; Magnoliopsida; Rosales; Rosaceae
Description: long non-coding RNA (FVES_LNC005001)
Source: RNAcentral
CUAGGAGAUUAGAGUUAGGUAUUUGAAGUUAUUAAAGGUCCUAGAGGGUGAAUAGGCCAUUAACAACUUUUUUUCGUAUAAAUUCGUUCUCAGGGAUAGCAAGGGUUAUAGCUAUCCUGAAUAACAAAUACACAGUAACAAUAAAUAAAAGUUGCAGUAAAGUAACAAUGAACACCAAGAUGUUUUUUACUCGCAGAAACCUUGCAACCAAGGAGAAAAACUGCGUGUCUCUAACUCUUGAGAGACAAAACUUUCCACUAUGUUGAAGUAACUUCUUACAAGAAUAAUAGUUCUAGUGAUACACUACCACAGUGCUAUCCUUCCUAGUCCCAAACUAGUCUAGACCUAUUCCCUCUCUUGUUUCUAAGCUCUUACAACAUGGAACAUUUUUAGAAGCCUUGUUCGUGAAUUCAGCUAACCACUAGCAGAUUCAACCUUGAACGCUUCUCAGAAGUUUCACUCUCAGAAACUUAGCUAUCCUAAACUGAUUCUUUCAUGAACCCAGCUACCUCAGCGGGAUACAUCA